Long non-coding RNA from Cotesia glomerata, 353 nucleotides. RefSeq lists it as uncharacterized. Lineage: Eukaryota; Metazoa; Arthropoda; Insecta; Hymenoptera; Braconidae. The record is from RefSeq and is a predicted model, not a curated record. The transcript is spliced from 3 exons.
AAACUGCUGAUGUGAUAAAUUCCCAGGGUGUCCCGCACUAUUUAUACAACUCGCUAUCAUAGUCGCUACGAUGGCGAAAACAAGAUUUAUUGAUGAUUGCAAUAGUCCACAUAUCGGCGAGUGAGAAAAAUUAACAACCGAAACCGCAACAGAGGAUCAAAAAAUUGUAACUUUGGGCAGAGAGGACCUUUAAGGUUAAGAUUGUUUUAAGGAUCAGUUGCAGAAGGACAGCCAUUGUUGUGAUUGUUACCAACCGAAAAGUACCCUUUUCCUUGGCAAACUGAGCCUUGGCUUUUAUCGACUCGACAUUGUCAAAGCUGAUCCACUGGUACCCUCUGUAAGCCCAGGGGACU